UAAUACAGAGGGGGCAAGCGUUAUUCGGAAUUAUUGGGCGUAAAGGGCGCGUAGGCGGCCAAGCAAGUCAGGGGUGAAAUCCCUCGGCUCAACCGAGGAACUGCCUCUGAAACUGCAUGGCUUGAGACCGGGAGAGGGUGGUGGAAUUCCCAGUGUAGCGGUGAAAUGCGUAGAUAUUGGGAGGAACACCGGUGGCGAAGGCGGCCACCUGGACCGGUUCUGACGCUGAGGCGCGAAAGUGUGGGGAGCAAACAGGAUUAGAUACCCUGGUAGUCCACACUGUAAACGAUGAGCACUCGGUGUUGUGGGUGUCGACCCCUACAGUGCCUUAGGAAACCCGUUAAGUGCUCCGCCUGGGGAGUACGGUCGCAAGGCUG
Molecule: ribosomal RNA, 377 nt
Filed under: uncultured bacterium
Lineage: Bacteria
Description: bacterial SSU rRNA
Rfam family: Bacterial small subunit ribosomal RNA
Source: RNAcentral